RNAcentral lists this ribosomal RNA (252 nucleotides) under uncultured bacterium. RNAcentral's name for it is "partial 16S ribosomal RNA". It matches the Rfam family "Bacterial small subunit ribosomal RNA", at positions 524 to 776 of the family's 1533-position model. The record is from RNAcentral.
UACGUAGGUCCCGAGCGUUGUCCGGAUUUAUUGGGCGUAAAGCGAGCGCAGGUGGUUUAUUAAGUCUGGUGUAAAAGGCAGUGGCUCAACCAUUGUAUGCAUUGGAAACUGGUAGACUUGAGUGCAUGAGAGGAGAGUGGAAUUCCAUGUGUAGCGGUGAAAUGCGUAGAUAUAUGGAGGAACACCGGUGGCGAAAGCGGCUCUCUGGCCUGUAACUGACACUGAGGCUCGAAAGCGUGGGGAGCAAACAGG